GCAGAUCGUAUUUUAGGGAACAGAGAGUAAAGUUCCCUAAGAAAAGCAGGAUCCUCCGACCAGUCGAGGUGAUCGUGGCUGGCGGGCUUUCUGCCCUACUGU
This 102-nucleotide microRNA precursor is filed under the name Spodoptera frugiperda (fall armyworm). RNAcentral describes it as "microRNA sfr-mir-10484 precursor". Lineage: Eukaryota; Metazoa; Arthropoda; Insecta; Lepidoptera; Noctuidae. The record is from miRBase by way of RNAcentral.